Molecule: ribosomal RNA, 406 nt
Filed under: uncultured bacterium
Lineage: Bacteria
Description: partial 16S ribosomal RNA
Rfam family: Bacterial small subunit ribosomal RNA
Source: RNAcentral
AUUGAACGCUGGCGGCAGGCUUAACACAUGCAAGUCGAGCGAGCGGCGGACGGGUGAUUACUGUCUGGGAAACUGCCUGAUGGAUGGGGAUAACUACUGGAAACGGUAGCUAAUACCGCAUACCAUCAGAAGUGCCCAGAUGGGAUUAGCUAGUAGGUUGGGUAAUGGCUCACGUAGGCGACGGUCCCUAGCUGGUCUGAGAGGAUGACCAGUCACACUGGACCUGAGACACGGUCCAGACUCCUACGUGAGGCAGCAGUGGGGAAUAUUGAAAAAUGGGCGCAAGCCUGAUGCAGCCAUGCCGAGUGUGUGGAGAAGGCCUUCGGGUUGUAAAGGACUUUCAGCGAGGAGGCGUUACUCGCAGAAGGAGCACCGGCUAAAUCCGUGCCAGCGGCAGCGGUAAAUC